AUUGCGAAUGGGCGCAGCCUGACGCAGCAACGCCGCGUGGGUGAUGAAGCUCCUUGGAGUGUAAAACCCUGUCAGUGGGGAAGAAACGCGCGGGGAGUAACUGCCCUGCGCCUGACGGUACCCACAGAGGAAGCACCGGCUAACUCCGUGCCAGCAGCCGCGGUAAUACGGGGGGUGCAAGCGUUGUUCGGAUUUACUGGGCGUAAAGGGCGCGUAGGUGGACCUUCAAGUCGGGUGUGAAAACUGGCGGCUUAACCGCCAGCUUGCAUUCGAUACUGUCGGUCUUGAGUACAGCAGAGGAAAGCGGAAUUCCAGGUGUAGCGGUGAAAUGCGUAGAUAUCUGGAAGAACACCAGAAGCGAAGGCGGCUUUCUGGGCUGAUACUGACGCUGAAGCGCGAAGGCCAGGGGAGCAAACAGGAUUAGAUACCCUGGUAGUCCUGGCGGUAAACGAUGGGCACUAGGUGUCGGGGGUAUCGACCCCCCCGGUGUCGAAGCUAACGCAUUAAGUGCCCCGCCUGGGGAGUACGAUCGCAAGGUUGAAACUCAAAGAAAUUGACGGA
Molecule: ribosomal RNA, 561 nt
Filed under: uncultured bacterium
Lineage: Bacteria
Description: bacterial SSU rRNA
Rfam family: Bacterial small subunit ribosomal RNA
Source: RNAcentral